This 49-nucleotide transfer RNA is filed under the name Arvicola sapidus (southwestern water vole). Its description in RNAcentral is "partial tRNA-Pro". The record is from RNAcentral. Lineage: Eukaryota; Metazoa; Chordata; Mammalia; Rodentia; Cricetidae.
CUCCCCACCAUAAGCACCCAAAGCUGAUGUUCUACUUAAACUACUUCCU